RNAcentral lists this ribosomal RNA (415 nucleotides) under uncultured prokaryote. Its description in RNAcentral is "bacterial SSU rRNA". It matches the Rfam family "Bacterial small subunit ribosomal RNA", at positions 505 to 918 of the family's 1533-position model. The record is from RNAcentral.
GUGUCAGCCGCCGCGGUAAGACGGAGGAGGCAAGCGUUAUCCGGAAUUAUUGGGCGUAAAGGGUCCGCAGGUGGCAGUUCAAGUCUGCAGUCAAAGGUCGGGGCUCAACCCCGGAAAGGCAGUGGAAACUGACAAGCUAGAGGGCUCUAGGGGUAGAGGGAAUUCCCGGUGUAGCGGUGAAAUGCGUAGAGAUCGGGAAGAACAUCGGUGGCGAAAGCGCUCUACUGGAGAGCAACUGACACUCAGGGACGAAAGCUAGGGGAGCGAAAGGGAUUAGAUACCCCUGUAGUCCUAGCUGUAAACGAUGGAGACUAGGUGUGGCCUGUAUCGACCCGGGCCGUGCCGGAGCUAACGCGUUAAGUAUCCCGCCUGGGGAGUACGCACGCAAGUGUGAAACUUAAAUGAAUUGACGGGG